UGAUCUGAUCCGAUUCCUCCUACCUGGAUGGAUCUGAGUGGAGUUCAGCAAAGAGUCCAGGGGGUGGAGUCCGAUCUGAUCCUCUCACCUGGACAGAUCUGAUCCAGCUCUUCCUACCUGGAUAUAUCUGAGUGGAGUGUCAAAAACGACUCAUUAAAUGAUCCAUUCUAAAGGAUUCGUUCUAAACUCCUCCCUUCAGAGAGCAUACUCUGCUCUGAUUGGUCGGACAUCCCAGUCUGUUGUGACUGGUCUACCAGCGAGCAGCUGAUGAAGACGAGAGGCGGGGCUUUUUGGUACAAACCUACGUAGGUUAGUACAGGAAAUUAAAAACAUAACCAAGCCUGCUGGGUUUUUCCUGCAGAAACAAAACCGAGUGACCGUCCGAGUCUCCAGAAGAACCACAGCAGAUUCUCCAACACGCUCCCAGAUCAUUUCCUUAUAACACUGCACACACACUACCUCAGACUCCUGAUGUUCACUGCUCUUUACAGUGUCGUUUAAUGUAGAAAUGCUUCACUUCAUCACUUCUGAAGGCGUUUUUACUGAAGUGUGCGUGUGUAAAAAAACACAAGAGUUGUGACCGCAUAAGUAUUCACCCCUGAACGAGAUCUACGUAAUGAAGUCACGUAAUGAAUCGAAUGGAGUAUAAAUAGAUGUGUUUCUGGAAGAAUCCAAAGUUUGUUCGUCGUCAUGGAGCAUCACGAAGACUGAGGAACAUCCCAGAGAGACUCUUCCAAACAUUGACAUUCGUUCCUCUUGAGAAAGAGCUUUAUCCUGGCCAGGCUGGCGGUGGAUCCGGAGUCUAUCCCAGGAACACUGCACAAGCAUGCACCAUCCCCACUGUGAAGCACGGUGGUGGCAGCAUCACGGCUUCGUGGAUGUUCAAUAAUCCCCGUGAAGCCCACGCUGUAAAAUGGCGCUUUGUUUUGUUUUUUUUUCAGACGUCCGAACGAUAAUUAUUCCCGAGGGAUUGAUAUCCGGGUAAUGCGAAAUCUUUUAAAACCUUUUAAUACCGGAUUUUAUCGAUUGAUGGCGUACGGACCACUUGUUUCUGAGCCACUUCUGAAUGAGUAAUUCGCCCGUCCAUUCACAUCCGUCCGCUUCAUCUGACCAUUUCAGAAGUCUAAGCGCAGAAUGAACAUUAGAACCGAUCGAAAUGCUUCAUCCCGAGACAGAUGCUGUGUCGGUUAGACAAAAUCACCACGGAGGCUUUUAGUGAACAUAUUUUACACCAUAGCAAGGUUUUAUUUGACAGUAGUUCUCAGUAUUUAUACAAUAAACAAGUCGUCCUGUAAAAGUUAUUAUAUCCGUACAGUUGCAUUUCUUAAAAAAUAGCUGAUGUACAGUCUUGUGUGUGUGUGUGUGUGUGUGUGUGUGUGUGUGAAUAGUACACUGAGUGUGUGUAUCAAGUGUUGUCUAAUAAUAUAGAACAUUACACAGUGAUUCAGAAUCCAGUCCCUUAUCAUCAUCAUCAUCAUCAUCAUCAUCUUCAUCAUCAUCAUCAUCUUCAUCAUCAUCAUCAUCAUCAUCAUCAUCAUCUUCAUCAUCAUCAUCAUCUUCAUCAUCAUCAUCAUCAUCAUCAGUCUACAGUCCACAGACAGCGUGGCAAGAAUCAGAUGCAUUAAAAGCUUCAUGUUAGUAUUAGCGAUGUCAUAAAAACCUGAAAGAACAUAUUCUGGACUAAACGUAAGGAAAGAAACACUCUGUGUGUGUGUGUGUGUGUGCGUGUGCGCGUGUGUGUGGUGUGACGAAGCCGAGUCACUGUUACCACCCUGAAGUCGAUUAUUUCCCUACAACAGCACGUGUUUUAUUCUUCUUACGCCGCGUGAUUUGCCAUCUAUUGCAGGUUUUAAUUGAAAGAUCUACACAUUAUAGUUUUUUUUUAUCCGUUUAUAGUUGCAUCUAUCGUCCGUUCCCUCACCAGCCCCCCUUUUUCUCCUCUCUUGAAGUUAAUUAGACCAACAAAAAAAAACCCCCACAGCUUGUCGUCUUUUGUUACAGAGAAACCUCAAAAGGUGUGAAGUGCUGUGUCCUGAAGACGUCGAGAAAGUUAAAGUUACAGCUUCACCUCUGACACCGGAGACUCCCUCCAUAAAAGUUCAAUAUAUUUUAUAUAUAUAUACAUACAGUGCAUCUGGAAAGUAUUCCCAGCGCUUCACUUUUCCCACAUUUUUGUUAUGUUACAGCGUUAUUCCAAAAUGGAUUCAUUAUUUUCCUCAGAAUUCUACUAACGAUGCCCCGUAAUGACCACGUGAAAGACAUUUGUUUGAAAUCUUUGCAAAUUUAUUUUAAAAAAAAAAACCACAUAAGUAUUCACAGCCUUUGCCAUGACACUCAAAAUGGAGCUCAGGUGCGUCCUGUUUCCUCUGAUCAUCCUUCAGAUGUUUCUACAACGUGAUGGGAGUCCACCUGUGGUCAAUUCAGUUGAUUGGACAUGAUUUGGAAAGGCACACACCUGUCUAUAAAAGGUCCCACAGUUAACAACGCAUGUCAGAGCACAAACCAAGCCAUGAAGUCCAAGGAAUUGUUUGAAGACCUCCGAGACAGGAUUGUAUCGAGGCACAGAUCUGGGGAAGGGUACAGAAACAUUUCUGCAGCACUGAAGGUCCCAGUGAGCACAGUGGCCUCCAUCAUCCGUAAAUGGAAGAAGUCUGGAACCAGCAGGACUCUUCCUAGAGCUGGCCGACGGCCAAACUGAGCGAUCGGGGGAGAAGGGCCUUAGUCAGGGAGGUGACCCAAAACCCGAUGGUCACUCUGACAGAGCUCCAGCGUGUCUCUGUGGAGAGAGGAGAACCUUCCAGAAGAAUAACCAUCUGCAGCACUCCACCAAUCAGGCCUGUACGGUAGAGUGGCCAGACGGAAGCCACUCAUCAGUAAAGGCCACAUGACAGCCCACAUGGAGCACCUGAAGGACUCUCAGACCAAAGAUUGAAGAAAGAUUGAACUCUUUGGCCUGAAGGGCAAGCGUCAUGUCUGGAGGAAACCAGGCACGACUCAUCACAUGGCCAAUACCAUCCCUACAGUGACGCAUGGUGGUGGCAGCAUCAUGCUGUGG
Long non-coding RNA from Ictalurus punctatus (channel catfish), 3055 nucleotides. RefSeq lists it as uncharacterized. NCBI's taxonomy places the organism in Eukaryota, Metazoa, Chordata, Actinopteri, Siluriformes, Ictaluridae. The transcript has 3 exons. The record is from RefSeq and is a predicted model, not a curated record.